This 904-nucleotide long non-coding RNA is filed under the name Homo sapiens (human). Its description in RNAcentral is "HSALNT0171384". The record is from RNAcentral. Lineage: Eukaryota; Metazoa; Chordata; Mammalia; Primates; Hominidae.
UCUUCAACAGAAGAUAUGAAUCAAGCAAUCUGAGGGCCUAGAUGGGGAGAAAAGGGCCCUGAAACAGGGAGAGAUGAAUGUAGCCACCAGCUCUCUGUUUUUUUCUUUAGAGGGGCAGGGAGUCAUUCAACCUAAGAAUUUUUCCUUGCUGUCUUGCAUAUCCCAACAGGCCUCCCUUCAUUCUUACAGUGUGACUGACCUAAAUUGAAAAUAUGAAGAGGACCCAUGGGCUAAAAGGCUAAUUUUUCAUUGUCGGUAUAUACUAAAUUUGUUUAUCCAUCAUCUGUCCAUUGACAGUUGGUUGCCUCCACCCUUUGACUAUUGUGAACAGUGCUGCUAUGAACAUGAGUGUGCAAAUAUACUUUCAAGAUCCUGGUUUCAAUUCUUUUGAGAUUACCCAGAAGUAGAAUCAGUGGAACAUACGGAAGAAGAUUAUGGGCAAGUACUGCAAGAACUGGCAACAGUCUCAUAUUAUGUGGACAACUCUACAAUGCAUGUUUGUUUGGGCUCUCCCUUUUCGCUGCUCCAAACUCCCUGUCCCUGACUUUUGCUUACUGGGUCCAGUCCCCAGUAGAGUAGCUGCUCUUAGGCUUUUGUCUUAGGAGAACUCAGGGGAACACGUGGCCUAUGCUCUGGCAUUAGGUCCUCAAACAUUGCCAAACAUUGUCAAUCAUUCUUGAAGGUUUAACAUUAAAUGAUAUUAAGAAACGGACACUGGGCAAUAACUUUAGCACCAGCUGGGAGAAUUGGUGAUGAUUAUAGUCGGAAAGAAUCCCAAAUAUGUGAUGCUGGGAAGAGAUGCAGAAACAUUGAAAGCAAAUGAUCCUGUGCCUGUGACUGAACCCUCCUUGAUCUCCUCCUGUCAGGGAAGUCUUUUCCCAGUAUCAGUCAUCACUUUGCUGGG